Molecule: non-coding RNA, 280 nt
Organism: Salvelinus sp. IW2-2015
Lineage: Eukaryota; Metazoa; Chordata; Actinopteri; Salmoniformes; Salmonidae
Source: RefSeq, a predicted model, not a curated record
AUCAAAACAGCUCGAGCUCACGGAGAGAAACGGGAGAGCAAGCCGUCUCUUCUCGUUUGGUACGCCCGAACCUCACGCGCAUCCAGAACAUUGUUUUAUUCCUCUCCUUUCCUCCUGUCUUUCUCCCCACGAGAUGAGAGACUGAUCCAGUGAGGGUUCCACGAGCUGUUACAAAGAAGUUUUGGGUAGGAGGAGAGGAUGAUGAUGAUGUCAGAGUUCAUCGUGCUGUGUUUACUGUUUGGAGCCACAGCACACGCCCAGGCCUUCCCAGAAUGCAACA